Long non-coding RNA from Rosa rugosa (rugosa rose), 491 nucleotides. RefSeq lists it as uncharacterized. The record is from RefSeq and is a predicted model, not a curated record. The transcript has 3 exons. Lineage: Eukaryota; Viridiplantae; Streptophyta; Magnoliopsida; Rosales; Rosaceae.
GCAAAGCUAGGUAGCGAAACAAGAAAGCGAAGCAAGGUGGCGUUGCAGGACGGCGAAGUUAGGGUUUGGUCCGGGAUUGCAAAUCUACAGUCGAGCAAGCCGACGAAGCUAGGGUUUGGUUCCGGCAUACAAAUCCAUUGUCGAGCAAGGCAGCAAAGCUAGGGAUUGAUCCAGGCCUGCAAAUCCAUGAUUGAGCAAAAAGGGAUUGAGGCUAUGAAAUUUUGGUCCUCCCAUUGCGUUGGCAAUUGGAGCAAAGUUUGUUCCUCUGAGAAAACCAAUGAAAUUGCCUGAGAUUCAUUUUGCGACGGAGGAAUGAUGUGAAAAAAAUUGCUAAAAGAAUGUGCAAGAACUACUAACAUUUCUUCCACGUUAACUAUGAAAGAUUAGAUGAAAUGCAACCUGUGUUUUACAGUAUCUGAAUUGCUCAAACUCAUUGUAAUACUUAUGCAAAAAUACUAUGUUCUCAUGUUAUUGUGAUACAAUAGACUUGA